CUAAACGUCACAUGACGAAUAGAAGAAAGGUGGCUUCGGCUACCGCUUAUGGAUGGACCCGCGGCGUAUUAGCUAGUUGGUGAGGUAAUGGCUCACCAAGGCGAUGAUACGUAGCCGACCUGAGAGGGUGAUCGGCCACACUGGGACUGAGACACGGCCCAGCCUCCUACGGGAGGCAGCAGUAGGGAAUCUUCCGCAAUGGACGAAAGUCUGACGGAUCAAUGGCGCGUGAGUGAAGAAGGUUUUCGGAUCGUA
RNAcentral lists this ribosomal RNA (255 nucleotides) under uncultured bacterium. Its description in RNAcentral is "partial 16S ribosomal RNA". It matches the Rfam family "Bacterial small subunit ribosomal RNA", at positions 179 to 427 of the family's 1533-position model. The record is from RNAcentral.